Molecule: transfer RNA, 98 nt
Filed under: Candidatus Heimdallarchaeota archaeon LC_2
Lineage: Archaea; Promethearchaeati; Candidatus Heimdallarchaeota
Description: tRNA-Thr
Rfam family: tRNA
About the family: Transfer RNA (tRNA) molecules are approximately 80 nucleotides in length. Their secondary structure includes four short double-helical elements and three loops (D, anti-codon, and T loops).
Source: RNAcentral
GCCUUAGUAACUCAGCUCGGUAGAGUGAUUGACUUGUAUGAUUUCUUUUAGAAAGUCUAGAAAUCAAUUUGUCGGGGGUUCAAAUCCCCCCUGAGGCU